UAUGCCUACAAGGUGUUCAAUAAAAGCAAAAUGGUGGAUCUAUCACUUCUCUCCUCGUUCGGUCAGAAGGAGCAGCGAGACGGGAGCUGCGGAGAGCCGAGUCAGGGACAAGAAGCAGCAGGGACCGGGCUUCCGCUGCAGUGGAGUGGAGCUGCAGGGAGAGGAAGGAAGCACCAGAAUUGUUAAUUUGCUUGGGCACUCACCUGGGAUGUAGAUCUCUGGUUCCAGAGGCCGGAUCACCCCUUUCCUCUGAACCUUGUUCUGGAGCAAGAGCUGCAACAGAAGAUGGGAUGAAUUAACACAUGUUUCUUUCUGAUGCAGGUGAAGGAUGUCUGUGUGUGAUGUGUUGUGCUUGGUGUGCAGUAGUACCAGGGCUCCUAUCGCUGCCAGUACCCCGACAGUGAGGGCCAUGGCGCUGGUCGACCUGCUGUUCUCAAUCUUUCAGAACUCCAGCUUCGUCGCUUGGUGCUUCUCGGUGGGUUGCUCGUCGGGGUACUCCACCUCGACUUCAUGGUGGAGUAGUACCAUAUCCUGAAUCGUGGGAGCAAAGCAAACAUUUAGCUCAUCAUGGUCCAAGCCAUUCUCUGUUCAGAGUCGGGGACAAGAAGCAGCAGGGACCGGGCUCCUGCUGUAGUGGAGUGGAGCUGCAGGGAGAGGAAGGAAGCCGGUGACAGAAGAAAAGAAGUUGCCGGCUCUGGUUCAUCAUGGAGAAACAGCUGCUCGCCCUCCUCCGCCUCGUCUUCCCUAACCAUGGAUUCGUGAGACAAUGCCAACGAAUUGUCGGUCACGGGUACUGAGUCCCUCUCAUGUGAGGUAAUUUUAACUUCUCAGUUGGAUAUUAGUCAACAUCCUAAAGUUAGGAAUGUUCAGUAUCCCCAUAUCUAAUUUAUCUUCUUGGUUACCCUUGCUCCAUGUUCCUCUGCUCCCCCCUUACGUGUCGACAAUGGAGGCUUUACAUCAUAGUGCGAGGCAGUGGUGCCUGCAAUAAUGACGAGGAAGAGCUGCAUCCACU
This is a long non-coding RNA of Triticum aestivum (bread wheat), 1012 nucleotides long. RefSeq lists it as uncharacterized. The transcript has 3 exons. NCBI's taxonomy places the organism in Eukaryota, Viridiplantae, Streptophyta, Magnoliopsida, Poales, Poaceae. The record is from RefSeq and is a predicted model, not a curated record.